GAUGAACGCUGGCGGUAUGCUUAACACAUGCAAGUCGAACGGACUCUUCGGAGUUAGUGGCGGACGGGUGAGUAACGCGUGAGAAUCUGGCUUUGGGUUCGGGACAACCACUGGAAACGGUGGCUAAUACCGGAUGUGCCGAGAGGUGAAAGAGAAAUUGCCUGAAGAUGAGCUCGCGUCUGAUUAGCUAGUUGGUGAGGUAAAGGCUCACCAAGGCAGCGAUCAGUAGCUGGUCUGAGAGGAUGACCAGCCACACUGGGACUGAGACACGGCCCAGACUCCUACGGGAGGCAGCAGUGGGGAAUUUUCCGCAAUGGGCGAAGGCCUGACGGAGCAAUACCGCGUGAGGGAAGAAGGCUCUUGGGUUGUAAACCUCUUUUCUUAGGGAAGAACAAAAUGACGGUACCUAAGGAAUCAGCAUCGGCUAACUCCGUG
Molecule: ribosomal RNA, 435 nt
Filed under: uncultured bacterium
Lineage: Bacteria
Description: partial 16S ribosomal RNA
Rfam family: Bacterial small subunit ribosomal RNA
Source: RNAcentral